AGCUACUUCGGACUGGCCACCAACCUCAUCAUAUACCUCACCAAGGUACUGCACGAGGAGGUGAAGACGGCGGCCAAGAACGUCAACUACUGGAGCGGCGUCACCACCAUGAUGCCCCUCGUCGGCGGCUUCGUCGCCGACGCCUACCUGGGGAGGUUCUCCACCGUUGUCAUCUCCUCCCUCAUCUAUAUCGCGGUAAAUUGCUCGCCCAAUUGGCUCUGCUUGUCGUGUACCGAACCCAAUCCCCCCCCCCUCACGACCGAAGACUGCCAGCCGACCCGCCUACCUGGGGAGGUUCUCCCCCGUUGUCAUCUCCUCCCUCAUCUAUAUCGCGGUAAAUUGCUCGCCCAAUUGACUCUGCUUGUCGUUUACCGAACCCAACGCCCCCUCACGACCGAAGACUGCCAAAGAAUCGUUGCUUAUCUCCAUGUCACAAAGAAUCGAUCCAAACGUGCUGUGCAGGACAAAUUCCAUAAAUCCACCAAUGAAAGGCAUAAGGUGACAUCAGCCGCCAAAGCCGUACAAGUAUUAGAUCCCACAGUAAUCUAAUCAUCUUUGUUUUCGUAGGUGUAAGAUGCUAAAAAAAUCUAUCCCAAAAAUGAUGGAUAUUACAGAAUCAUAGAUGACUGAUCUUAGAAAAAAAAUAUUUCUAAAUUAAACAUAAUAAUUCAUAAUCUCUGAGCAUCGUAUGGUUCUUUUCAUUUCUCCGUAC
RNAcentral lists this long non-coding RNA (712 nucleotides) under Musa acuminata (dwarf banana). RNAcentral's name for it is "long non-coding RNA (MACU_LNC006168)". Lineage: Eukaryota; Viridiplantae; Streptophyta; Magnoliopsida; Zingiberales; Musaceae. The record is from RNAcentral.